UUCUGUUCUGCUGAUUGGGUUUAGCGAAGAGCUUGGUGUGCCAGUUACAGUUCAUCAGACGAUUUUGCCUCUAAUGCUCUCUUUUGGAAAAGGAAUAUGCAAUGACGGAAUUGAUGUGUUGAUUAGAAUUGGUGGACUUAUUGGGGAAAAGUUCGUUGUGAAACAAAUUCUGCCAUUGUUAAAUACUGUCGUCAAUUCGUGUAUCUGCACUUUGAGUGUU
Molecule: long non-coding RNA, 220 nt
Organism: Salvia splendens (bonfire salvia)
Lineage: Eukaryota; Viridiplantae; Streptophyta; Magnoliopsida; Lamiales; Lamiaceae
Exons: 3
Source: RefSeq, a predicted model, not a curated record